This is a long non-coding RNA of Dermacentor silvarum, 357 nucleotides long. RefSeq lists it as uncharacterized. The record is from RefSeq and is a predicted model, not a curated record. The transcript is spliced from 3 exons. Lineage: Eukaryota; Metazoa; Arthropoda; Arachnida; Ixodida; Ixodidae.
GGUUCUGCAAAUUUUGAAUCAGCCUGCGGCUCCGAAAAUGUGAUGAUUGUGUCGGACGAAGGCAACGAUGAUGUUACUUCUUUCACCCUUACCCACGAAAUAUCACAUACAAUCGGAUCGUUUCAUGAUGGUCAAGGUAAAGCACUCAACUGCUUAGACAUUGGAUAUAUAAUGAGCCCUUAUAUGAUAAGAGCCCCAAAUCCAUCCUACUCUGAUUGCAGCAUUAGGGAUAUUAGGAGGUUUUUGAGCAAACCAGCAGCUAAGUGCUUGUUUGAAGACACGAGUGACCCUCAACUUGACGUCACAAGGGCUGCCAGGUGCAGCGCCUUCCUGCCAUCGGGCGAGGUGCUGCUGCGU